This 70-nucleotide transfer RNA is filed under the name Coptotermes acinaciformis acinaciformis. Its description in RNAcentral is "tRNA-Cys". Lineage: Eukaryota; Metazoa; Arthropoda; Insecta; Blattodea; Rhinotermitidae. The record is from RNAcentral.
AGCCUUGUAUUCAUUUAGUGAUAACAGAAUGCAAUUCUGUAGGGGUAGGUUUAAAGGCUUACCAAGGCCU